This 460-nucleotide ribosomal RNA is filed under the name uncultured bacterium. RNAcentral's name for it is "partial 16S ribosomal RNA". It matches the Rfam family "Bacterial small subunit ribosomal RNA", at positions 338 to 795 of the family's 1533-position model. The record is from RNAcentral.
CCUACGUGUGGCAGCAGUGAGGAAUAUUGGUCAAUGGGAGAGAUCCUGAACCAGCCAAGCCGCGUGAGGGAAGACGGCCCUAUGGGUUGGAAACCUCUUUUGUCGGAGAACAAAACACGGGACGUGUCCCGGCCUGCGUUUAUCCGAAGAAAAAGCCCCGGCCAACUACGUGCCAGCAGCCGCGGUAAUACGUAGGGGGCAAGCGUUAUCCGGAUUUACUGGGUGUAAAGGGAGCGUAGACGGGUAAUCAAGUCAGAAGUGAAAUCCCAGGGCUCAACCUUGGGAGUGCAUUUGAAACUGAGUAGCUAGAGUGCAGGAGAGGUAAGCGGAAUUCCGGGUGUAGCGGUGAAAUGCGUAGAUAUUAGGAGGAACACCAGUGGCGAAGGCGGCUUACUGGACUGUAACUGACGUUGAGGCUAGAAAGCGUGGGGAGCAAACAGGAUUAGAUACCCGAGUAGUC